This is a long non-coding RNA of Micropterus salmoides (largemouth bass), 1146 nucleotides long. RefSeq lists it as uncharacterized. The record is from RefSeq and is a predicted model, not a curated record. The transcript is spliced from 3 exons. NCBI's taxonomy places the organism in Eukaryota, Metazoa, Chordata, Actinopteri, Centrarchiformes, Centrarchidae.
CUGGUCAGGGUCGAUCAAUACCUCCCCUUUAGCUUAUCACUAAUGUGGAACUGGCUGUUUGUCCAAACCUUGCUCUGUCUACAUAAAGACUUGGAUGGGACAGCAUCAAACCCAAAUGCACCACAUAUCACCUCAUGAACCUGCAGCUCCGGACGCACUACUGGACUUUUAACUGUUUGGAAAGACUCGGAGACAGAGCAGAGAAAAAAGAGUGGCUGGGAGGAGCAGAAUCAGCAGUGGGUAUGAACCAAGUGAAUAUGGAAAGAGGAUAAACUUUAGAAACUUGAGCCAGGACAGCGUCCCCUCUGCUCCAGGUGACAGUGUGGUGGGAGAAGACAGCCGCAAACAGACACCACAAGCAUAGACUCUGGGGGUCCCCACUCACUGACACUGCCUGGAUAGGCUGCACCACCUUGAGCCCUGACUCUGAAAAGUGGUGUGGACCUUGCCACACAACAUUGUUCCAGCCAAUCAGCAACAGGUGGCGUUAGUGCUUGUGCACAGGAGUGAGGGGGCCAGUGGGAGAGAGUUCUAUUCACCAUCACAUUCGAACGUACUGGACUCCAGGCAAAAACAGCCAAUAAGGGAAAGGCAUGAAGAGAACAGAGAAGACAGUUAUAUGACCAGGAAAGGGCGAAGGUAAGAUUUGAAAAUUGGGGGGGUGGCGGUUGGGGGGUUAGCGCCUGAGGGAGCACUGAAGGGAAGGGUUUUAUUUGUUUGGCAGGUGAGUUCAAACAUCAACAAUCCUUCUGCAGAAUCACUUACUCUUCCAUUAAGCUAAGCUAACCAUCUGCUAGCUACAGCCCUAUUUUGAACAGACAGAUAUGAAAAAUAAGUAUAUUUCCCAAUGUGUAAAAAGAUUUCUUUAUGUUUUAGAGCAUUAACUUGACUCCAAACCUGGAAAAAAGGUAGUAGAUUCCUCAGGAGUCUACCGAGUUGGGUAUAAACAGUGAAAUACAGUCACUUGAGGCACCUUUCAUUAUUUAUAGUUUCACACUUCUUGUUGUUGUGCUGUUACACUUUAUUUCUUCAGUUGCUCAUGUCUGCUGUAUAUACACUGCUCAAAAAAAUAAAGGGAACACUUAAACAACACAAUGUAACUCCAAGUCAAUCACACUCCUGUGAAAUCAAACUGUCCACUUAGGA